RNAcentral lists this ribosomal RNA (712 nucleotides) under Staphylococcus aureus. RNAcentral describes it as "bacterial SSU rRNA". It matches the Rfam family "Bacterial small subunit ribosomal RNA", at positions 196 to 895 of the family's 1533-position model. Lineage: Bacteria; Bacillati; Bacillota; Bacilli; Caryophanales; Staphylococcaceae. The record is from RNAcentral.
AAAAGUGAAAGACGGUCUUGCUGUCACUUAUAGAUGGAUCCGCGCUGCAUUAGCUAGUUGGUAAGGUAACGGCUUACCAAGGCAACGAUGCAUAGCCGACCUGAGAGGGUGAUCGGCCACACUGGAACUGAGACACGGUCCAGACUCCUACGGGAGGCAGCAGUAGGGAAUCUUCCGCAAUGGGCGAAAGCCUGACGGAGCAACGCCGCGUGAGUGAUGAAGGUCUUCGGAUCGUAAAACUCUGUUAUUAGGGAAGAACAUAUGUGUAAGUAACUGUGCACAUCUUGACGGUACCUAAUCAGAAAGCCACGGCUAACUACGUGCCAGCAGCCGCGGUAAUACGUAGGUGGCAAGCGUUAUCCGGAAUUAUUGGGCGUAAAGCGCGCGUAGGCGGUUUUUUAAGUCUGAUGUGAAAGCCCACGGCUCAACCGUGGAGGGUCAUUGGAAACUGGAAAACUUGAGUGCAGAAGAGGAAAGUGGAAUUCCAUGUGUAGCGGUGAAAUGCGCAGAGAUAUGGAGGAACACCAGUGGCGAAGGCGACUUUCUGGUCUGUAACUGACGCUGAUGUGCGAAAGCGUGGGGAUCAAACAGGAUUAGAUACCCUGGUAGUCCACGCCGUAAACGAUGAGUGCUAAGUGUUAGGGGGUUUCCGCCCCUUAGUGCUGCAGCUAACGCAUUAAGCACUCCGCCUGGGGAGUACGACCGCAAGGUU